CACCUUAUUCUUCUUCAAAUCAUUUCUCAUAUUUUCGUAACUUUUUUCUUAACAUUUACCAAACAAUUCAAAGCCAUCAUUUUCUUUCUUCACUUCUUUGACUUUUUCAAGAGAUUUUCUACCUAUAAGCCCUUCUUAGCCCCUCACUCAUCUAAUUUUUCUUUCUUUUCUUUUCUCAAAUUCUAUGAGCUAGGGUAUUUAACUUUAUCAUCAAGCAUAUCUCUUGUCUUUUAAGAACACGC
Molecule: long non-coding RNA, 242 nt
Filed under: Capsicum annuum
Lineage: Eukaryota; Viridiplantae; Streptophyta; Magnoliopsida; Solanales; Solanaceae
Description: long non-coding RNA (CANN_LNC004651)
Source: RNAcentral